Molecule: ribosomal RNA, 2154 nt
Filed under: Triticum aestivum (bread wheat)
Lineage: Eukaryota; Viridiplantae; Streptophyta; Magnoliopsida; Poales; Poaceae
Description: partial small subunit ribosomal RNA
Source: RNAcentral
AUGCAGCUACUCAGUCACUUAUGCAGGAACCGAUUGCCAAUACCAUUCUUUGGUUUGGCUGUUGUGCUACUAGUCUCCUUGGCUUCUCCCACCAGCUCCUGCACGGAGCAGGAGAAGAGCUCCCUUAUCCAGCUCCUUGAUGGGUUCUCACAAGACGGCGGCCUCACGGUGUCAUGGCGGAGCGACACAGACUGUUGCAGCUGGGAGGGGAUUGCCUGCAGCACCGAUAAGACGGUCACUGAUGUUUCACUGGCUUCUCACGGUCUUGAGGGGGUCAUCUCGCCAUUCCUUGGCAACCUCACCGGCCUGUUACAUCUCAACCUGUCGCACAACUCACUGUCCGGUGGCUUGCCACUAGAAUUGGUGUCAUCCAGCAGCAUCAUUGUCCUUGACAUCAGUUUCAACCGUUUGAGAGGAGCUCUGCACGAACUACCAUCUUCAGCCCCUGACCGACCUCUGCAGGUACUGAAUAUCUCGAGCAACUUACUUACAGGACCAUUUCCAUCCAUAAUAUGGAAGAAAAUGGAUAAUCUGAUAGCACUCAACGCCAGCAAUAACAGCUUUACUGGGCGGAUACCAAGUGAUUUGUGCAAUACCUCACCAUCCUUCGCUGUGCUUGACCUCUGUUUCAACAAACUGAGUGGCAGCGUGCCCCCAGGUCUUGGUAAUUGCUCCAUGCUGAGAGUGCUCAGGGCCGGCUACAACAACCUCAGUGGAACACUCCCAGAUGAGCUCUUUAAUGCGACCUCGCUGGAAUGCCUCUCUUUUCCUAACAAUGAUUUACAUGGUGUUCUUGAUAGUGAUCGCAUAAUAAGCCUCAGAAAUCUACAAAUCCUUGAUCUUGGGUGGAAUAACUUCAAUGGCAGGAUUCCAGAUUCUAUAGGUGACCUCAAGAGAUUGGAGGAGUUCCAUUUGCAGUACAACAACCUGUCAGGGGAGCUGCCAUCAACACUGAGCAAGUGUAAAAAUCUCAUAAGAAUUGACCUCAGGAGCAACUACUUCAGCGGAGAACUUACCAAGGUCAAUUUCUCCAACCUAUCCAAUCUGAAAACUUUAGAUCUUUGGUUAAACAACUUCACUGGCGUAGUUCCAGAAAGCAUCUACUCAUGCAGCAAUUUGACUGCGCUGCGGCUAGCAGCAAACAAUUUCCAUGGAGAGCUCUCACUGAGAAUAGGCAACCUGAAGUAUCUCUCCUUCUUGUCACUUGGCAAAAACAAUUUCACAAACAUCACAAAUGCAUUUCAGAUCCUUAAGAGCAGCAAGAAACUUAGCACCCUGCUUAUUGGAAACAACUUCAGAGGAGAGCUCAUGCCACAGGAUGACAUGAUUGAUGGCUUUGAGAAUCUUCAGUUUUUGGAUAUGGAUGGUUGCCAAUUGUCUGGAAAAAUACCUCUAUGGAUAUCAAGGUUCACAAACUUAGAGAUGUUAAUUUUAAGAAGCAAUCAACUCACUGGACCAAUACCAGGCUGGAUCAACUCCCUAAGCCAUCUCUUCUAUAUGGAUGUGUCAAACAACAAUCUUACAGGAGAAAUCCCAUUAACCUUGAUGGAGAUGUCAAUGCUAAAAUCAACUGGCAACUCAAGUCAUUUGGGCCCAUGGGUCUUUGAGCUGCCUCUUUAUAUUGAUCCAUCACUUCAAUACCUUGCGGAUACAUCUUUCCCACUAGUGUUGAAUCUAAGCAACAACAACUUCACAGGUGUGAUUCCCCCACAGAUCGGUCAGUUGAAAGUGCUUGGUGUACUUGAUUUCAGUUUCAACAAGUUAUCCGGGCAGAUCCCACAAUCGAUUUGCAAUCUCACAAACUUGCAGGUGCUAGACUUGUCCAACAACAAUCUCACAGGUGAUAUCCCAUCUGCACUGAACAAUCUGCAUUUCCUAUCCAGAUUCAACAUUUCUGACAAUGACCUAGAAGGUUUGAUUCCAUCUGGAGGCCAGUUUAGCACAUUUGAGGUUUCUAGCUUUGAUGGAAACCCAAAGCUGUGUGGCUCUAUGCUCGUACACAGAUGCGGUUCAGCAAAAGCACCUCCAGCCACUAUUCUGUCAACAAAACAACUUGAUUACAAGGUGGCCUUCGCAAUUGCCUUCAGUGCAUUCUUUGGUGUAGGGGUGUUGUAUGAUCAGAUAGUCCUAUCGAGGUAUUUAAAUUUGGGCUAG